RNAcentral lists this transfer RNA (66 nucleotides) under Arcynopteryx dichroa. RNAcentral describes it as "tRNA-Leu". It matches the Rfam family "tRNA". Rfam says of the family: Transfer RNA (tRNA) molecules are approximately 80 nucleotides in length. Their secondary structure includes four short double-helical elements and three loops (D, anti-codon, and T loops). Lineage: Eukaryota; Metazoa; Arthropoda; Insecta; Plecoptera; Perlodidae. The record is from RNAcentral.
UUUAAUGUGGCAGAAUAGUGCACUGGAUUUAAGCUCCAAUUAUGGGAGUUUACCUCCCCAUUAAAA